UAGGGAAUCUUCCACAAUGGACGCAAGUCUGAUGGAGCAACGCCGCGUGAGUGAAGAAGGUUUUCGGAUCGUAAAGCUCUGUUGUUGGUGAAGAAGGAUAGAGGCAGUAACUGGUCUUUAUUUGACGGUAAUCAACCAGAAAGUCACGGCUAACUACGUGCCAGCAGCCGCGGUAAUACGUAGGUGGCAAGCGUUGUCCGGAUUUAUUGGGCGUAAAGCGAGCGCAGGCGGAAUGAUAAGUCUGAUGUGAAAGCCCACGGCUCAACCGUGGAACUGCACCGGAAACUGUCAUUCUUGAGUGCAGAAGAGGAGAGUGGAAUUCUAUGUGUAGCAGUGGAAUGCGUAGAUAUAUGGAAGAACAACAGUGGCGAAGGCGGCUCUCUGGUCUGCAACUGACGCUGAGGCUCGAAAGCAUGGGUAGCGAACAGG
This 429-nucleotide ribosomal RNA is filed under the name bacterium. RNAcentral's name for it is "partial 16S ribosomal RNA". It matches the Rfam family "Bacterial small subunit ribosomal RNA", at positions 355 to 776 of the family's 1533-position model. The record is from RNAcentral.